GACGAACGCUGGCGGCGUGCUUAACACAUGCAAGUCGAACGGAAAGGCCCUGCUUGCAGGGUACUCGAGUGGCGAACGGGUGAGUAACACGUGGGUGAUCUGCCCUGCACUUCGGGAUAAGCCUGGGAAACUGGGUCUAAUACCGGAUAGGAGCCAUUUUUAGUGUGAUGGUUGGAAAGUUUUUUCGGUGUAGGAUGAGCUCGCGGCCUAUCAGCUUGUUGGUGGGGUAAUGGCCUACCAAGGAGGCGACGGGUAGCCGGCCUGAGAGGGUGGACGGCCACAAUGGGAAUGGGAUAAGGCCCAGAAUCCUAAGGGAGGCAGCAGUGGGGAAUAAUGCAAAAUGGGGGGAAGCCUGAUGCAGCGACGCCGCGUGGGGGAUGAAGGCCCUCGGGUUGGAAACUCCUUUCGCUAGGGACGAAGCUUUUUGUGACGGUACCUAGAUAAGAAGCACCGGCUAACUACGUG
Molecule: ribosomal RNA, 465 nt
Filed under: uncultured bacterium
Lineage: Bacteria
Description: partial 16S ribosomal RNA
Rfam family: Bacterial small subunit ribosomal RNA
Source: RNAcentral